GGGAGAGUCGUUCUUGAGAGCAUAUGCACCCCCAAAUGUCAAGUGCACGCGGACACACACACACACACACAGACACACGCACGCACACAUGAGCACUCAUGUUCUAGAGAGAGAGGUCUGAGUCCGAAGUUGCUGCUGCUGGGAGCUUGAGCUGAGAUGGACUGGUCUUCAUGGGCGCCCAAGGCACUGGGUGCAACUUUCCGCGAGACCCCCAGAUGGAAAGGUGGGAAGGAGGAACCCCACACACUCGCCUUUUGCGAGAAGAUCGGCGCGCACCCCAGAGUGCCCCAAGCCUUUGGAAUCUGCCUGCUGAGCGGAGCGCGCGAGCGUGGACAGGUCCCGAACUUGGCCGGCGGGCUUUCUUGGCAACUUGCUUUGCGCAGUUCUCCAUGGAACCCUGGACCCACUGUGCUCCCGGAGCCUUACCUUUUUUCUUUCUUUCUUUCUCUCUUUCUUUUUAAAUUUAUGAACUCGAAAUGAAGCGGAAAGCAGAUACACGCGUCAGCAUACUUUGGCGGCUGCUCCUCCCUUUGCUGGAUUCAGGACUUCAGCUGGAUCUGGGAGCAAAGCUAACUCAAACUGUGAUUUCCGAAUGGCCAGCGGACAGAUUGCAGCACCAAGUUUAACCUCCAAACAAUUCUCACUGGGAUGUUAUGAUCGUUUGCAGGCUUUCCGCUCCAUGACGCACGGAGGCUUGGCGGCCACUCUUAAAGAGAACUGGGAGGCUUCAGGUUUUUAACCGAUGAGGGUCCCAAAUAAGGAAUAGGUUAUGCAGUGGUAACUUUGAACUUUGGGGAGAAAAAGAAUCUAAUAGAAAAUAUUGAGGAGUAAUAUCCUCAUUUGUUUUGCUGCCAGAACCCGGAUUUCUGGACUUUUCAGUUUUUACAUGGGAAUAGUCAGAAUGAAAAGCCAUUCCAAAGACUCUUUUUCCCAUUUUUGUUGAUUUCUUCAGGUGCCUAGGAGUUGCACUGUUUGAGCCUUUAGUCUAAUUCAUUACCCUAGGUUUCCUUUAAUAAACAGAGAUUAACUGGUCUUCAAAUUAGAAUGAUACACUUCUUUAUUUUAAAAAAGCCAGCAUCUGGAUUAAGUAAGGUUUAGAUUUUCUUUUCUUUCUUCAUUUGAUAAUAUCUAUGAUGAAUUUCUCACAGGCUGGUUUUGCGUGUUUUAAUAUAAUAUUUUCUGAACUCAUUGCUAAGUAUACCCCCUUCUUGCUGGUCUUGCAGCCUCAGGAAACCCAGGCUGUUGUUAACAGUCCUAGAAGCCCCAGUGCAUGUCCUGGCACUUGGCACGGAUCAGUCACAUCAUAAAUGCUUGUGGUAUUCAUUAAUUCACAAGUUCCAAAACAAUUUUCAAAUGUGUAGGAAUCAUUUUAAAUUCUGACUGUGGCUGCCAGAUGCAUAGACCUGCUCCAUGUUAUCCAUAAAAGCUUCUCUGUCUCUAGGAAAAAAAAAACAAAAACAAACAAACAAAAAACACUUUAUGCAACUAUGAUGUGGUAGAAACAGUUGUGGGCUUUUUAUCCGGAAUAUUAUGCCCUAAUCCCCGCUCUGACCUUCACAGCUAUUUUCCCAUAAACAAGUCAAUUAAUUUCUCCAAAGCCGAAACCCCACACUUAAAAACCAAUAGAGGAAGAAGGCACAACAAUUAUCAAACAUCUGGUAGGAUUAAAUAUCUCCGUGUUAAAACAAACACAAAAAUAAAAACAGUCAAAGAAAAUCAGUCUUAUCAGAAAUCAAAAAUAAAGAAAUCACAGUGAAUAUUUUGGGUCAGUAAUGACAGGUACAGAAAAAAGAACUAAAUGUGUACUCUCGGGAAGGUCUGAAAAUUAGUGCUUGGGCCAGUUCUGGACUUGAAUGUUUUCCUGAGUAAAAGCUUCUGAAAUUAA
This is a long non-coding RNA of Macaca mulatta (Rhesus monkey), 1885 nucleotides long. Lineage: Eukaryota; Metazoa; Chordata; Mammalia; Primates; Cercopithecidae. The record is from Ensembl.